CCUACGGGUGGCUGCAGUGGGGAAUUUUGCACAAUGGGCGAAAGCCUGAUGCAGCAACGCCGCGUGUGUGAUGAAGGUCUUCGGAUCGUAAAGCACUUUCGACCGGGAAGAACAAGCUCGACCUAACACGUCGGGCCCUGACGGUACCGGGAGAAGAAGCACCGGCUAACUCUGUGCCAGCAGCCGCGGUAAUACAGAGGGUGCAAGCGUUGUUCGGAAUUAUUGGGCGUAAAGCGCGUGUAGGCGGCUUGUUAAGUCGGGUGUGAAAUCCCUCA
RNAcentral lists this ribosomal RNA (275 nucleotides) under uncultured bacterium. RNAcentral's name for it is "partial 16S ribosomal RNA". It matches the Rfam family "Bacterial small subunit ribosomal RNA", at positions 338 to 606 of the family's 1533-position model. The record is from RNAcentral.